RNAcentral lists this ribosomal RNA (253 nucleotides) under uncultured bacterium. RNAcentral describes it as "partial 16S ribosomal RNA". It matches the Rfam family "Bacterial small subunit ribosomal RNA", at positions 524 to 776 of the family's 1533-position model. The record is from RNAcentral.
UACGUAGGGUGCAAGCGUUGUCCGGAAUUACUGGGUGUAAAGGGUCCGCAGGCGGGCAAGUAAGUCGGUGGUGAAAGUUCACGGCUCAACCGUGAAAUUGCCUUCGAUACUGCUUGUCUUGAGUUCGAGAGAGGAUAAUGGAAUUCAUGGUGUAGCGGUGAAAUGUGUAGAGAUCAUGAAGAACACCGGUAGCGAAGGCGGUUAUCUGGCUCGAUACUGACGCUCAGGGACGAAAGCGUGGGUAGCAAACAGG